AUUUCUUAUCCGUCAUAUAGAAAUUAUGAUAACCAAACCUUAAUCAAUACAAAGUCUUUAGAUGAAAAGAUCUACGAUAACAACCCCUUUAUCAUUCUAAGUCAUUUUUUACUUAUAAAUCACAAAUCCUUUUCCUAGUAUGAUUUUAGUUUAGGAAUGUUCUGCCCCUAUAUAUUUGUGUUUCUAUUUCAUCGCCACACAAACCACUUGAUCAUACACUUUAUAAUCUACCCUAAAGACCCCCCACAAGUUUUCAUUAUGUGCCUGAUGGAUACGUGCAACGAGACCUACCCAUCGACAGAGCAAGAAACAGAGAAAUCUGAGAAGUUACCCAUGGAGAAAACAGUGUACGUCCCCUCAAGACCUCCUCUGCAUGACUUCAAACUGCCCGGUCCGGGCUGGACCACUCGAAAAGUCUUCCAAUGUGACGAAACCAGGCCUGACAUCAAGAAGAAGCCGGUUCGGGUUUUCAAGCCCUGUCUCAGGGUGAAACAGAGCACAAGGCAGCCGGUGAAUAAGGGGUGUGAAGUGGUGAGGGAGAGGAGUCGUGUGAGGAGAAGGGAGGGCUUGUUUUCGAUGUCGUUGAGUAAAGAAGAGAUUGAGGAGGAUUUUGUUCGCGUGAUUGGGAGGGUUCCUCAGGGGAAGAAGAAAGUGAAGAAGAUAUUUGAAACUGACGAGGAAGAGCAGAAAUACAUUAACUAUCUGAAAUACCUAAGAGAACUUAAUCCUGGAAACUGGUUGUCAGAGAUUUAUCAUGUCUGAGGAAUAUUAAACUGCAGAUGAACAAUGGAGGAAUUGGAGUUGCAAGAUUGGUAGCUGUCGACAUAUAUUUGAACGUUCUGGUUGCAGAAUCCUGGUGCAAAAAGUUUAGGUUCUGUUAAUCUUUUUUUAGAGAAAACAACUAAUUAGGCAGCACUUGUGUAAAUUAGGGUUUCAAUUAUUGACAAUAACUGAAAUAUAUGAUGAUCUGUUUUACGUUCU
This is a long non-coding RNA of Daucus carota subsp. sativus, 981 nucleotides long. RefSeq lists it as uncharacterized. The transcript has 2 exons. NCBI's taxonomy places the organism in Eukaryota, Viridiplantae, Streptophyta, Magnoliopsida, Apiales, Apiaceae. The record is from RefSeq and is a predicted model, not a curated record.